CCUACGGGGAGCUGCAGUGGGGAAUAUUGGACAAUGGGCGAAAGCCUGAUCCAGCCAUGCCGCGUGUGUGAAGAAGGCCUUCGGGUUGUAAAGCACUUUCAGUGGGGAAGAAAGCCUUGGGGCUAAUACCCUCGAGGAAGGACAUCACCCACAGAAGAAGCACCGGCUAACUCCGUGCCAGCAGCCGCGGUAAUACGGAGGGUGCGAGCGUUAAUCGGAAUUACUGGGCGUAAAGCGCGCGUAGGCGGUCUGAUAAGCCGGUUGUGAAAGCCCCGGGCUCAACCUGGGAACGGCAUCCGGAACUGUCAGGCUAGAGUGCAGGAGAGGAAGGUAGAAUUCCCGGUGUAGCGGUGAAAUGCGUAGAGAUCGGGAGGAAUACCAGUGGCGAAGGCGGCCUUCUGGACUGACACUGACGCUGAGGUGCGAAAGCGUGGGUAGCAAACAGGAUUAGAUACCCCAGUAGUC
Molecule: ribosomal RNA, 465 nt
Filed under: Vreelandella stevensii
Lineage: Bacteria; Pseudomonadati; Pseudomonadota; Gammaproteobacteria; Oceanospirillales; Halomonadaceae
Description: partial 16S ribosomal RNA
Rfam family: Bacterial small subunit ribosomal RNA
Source: RNAcentral